CUGGAUCUUCCUCUACUUCCUCAGCGUCGUCGUCUUUCUGUUCUGAAUGCGAGGACACCCAUUUCCAUUUCUGUCCCUCCACAGGGGCAGCUGACAUCGAAAAUGGUACCUCGUGUGAGUGAUCAGGUUUGAUUUGGAGACUUCCCACUUUGGCUUGAACCUCAGCUCGGAAACUUUCUCUCUCCAGAAUAGUAUUGCACAGAGCUCGGUGUUCAAGAGUGAAAUCCCAUGGCACUGCAGGUCCCCACGCAUCAACCUCUCCAUAUUCCCUGCCAGUCAACGUUCUCUGGUUUUGGGGAAGACUUCUUCCACGUGACAUGAACAGAGAGGAAUACAUUCAGGGAGAUUGGAAACAUGAGCAUGAACGUGAUCACUAACUCGGCAUUCCAAAAACGCGUAAAGAACUGAGAAGAGAGCCUGGAAACCAGUUUGAACAUCGUGUUGUGGGUAAAGUCAGCUAUUCCAUCUGUCAGUAUUCACAUCAUACACUGCAGGUAGGUACCAGGCAGGUGUCUCCAUCAGUGCCCUCACUUGGUUAUGUAUACAUACACAGAUCCACAGCAGAAAAUGAUGAACUUAAUAAGAAACCAAUAAGUCCCAAAAAACACCAUGGCCUUUAAUCCUUUAUACAGCACUCCUAAAAUGAAGAACAGAUUCAUAGCUGGCAGUUGCUAAAAAGGAAAAAAAAA
Molecule: non-coding RNA, 689 nt
Organism: Meleagris gallopavo (turkey)
Lineage: Eukaryota; Metazoa; Chordata; Aves; Galliformes; Phasianidae
Source: RefSeq, a predicted model, not a curated record